GACGAACGCUGGCGGCGUGCUUAACACAUGCAAGUCGAGCGGGGAGAUUGCCUUCGGGUGAUCUUCUAGCGGCGGACGGGUGAGUAACGCGUGAGCAACCUUUCCUCUACUGGGGAAUAACACCGGGAAACUGGUACUAAUACCGCAUGAGACCACAGAGUCGCAUGGCUUAGGGGUCAAAGAUUUAUUGGUAGAGGGUGGGCUCGCGUCUGAUUAGGUAGUUGGUGAGGUAACGGCUCACCAAGGCGACGAUCAGUAGCCGGUCUGAGAGGAUGAACGGCCACAUUGGGACUGAGAUACGGCCCAGACUCCUACGGGAGGCAGCAGUGGGGGAAUAUUGGGCAAUGGGCGAAAGCCUGACCCAGCAACGCCGCGUGAAGGAAGAAGGCCUUCGGGUUGUAAACGUUCUUUUACCUAGGGACGAAGAACGUGACGGUACCUGGAGAAAAGCAACGGCGUAACUACGUG
RNAcentral lists this ribosomal RNA (468 nucleotides) under uncultured bacterium. RNAcentral describes it as "bacterial SSU rRNA". It matches the Rfam family "Bacterial small subunit ribosomal RNA", at positions 28 to 507 of the family's 1533-position model. The record is from RNAcentral.